UACAGAGGGUGCGAGCGUUAAUCGGAAUUACUGGGCGUAAAGCGUGCGUAGCCGGUUAUGUAAGUCAGGUGUGAAAGCCCCGGGCUCAACCUGGGAAUUGCAUUUGAGACUGCAUAGCUAGGGUGCGGAAGAGGGAAGCGGAAUUUCCGGUGUAGCGGUGAAGUGCGUAGAUAUCGGAAGGAACAUCAGUGGCGAAAGCGGCUUCCUGGUCCAGCACCGACGUUCAGGCACGAAAGCGUGGGGAGCAAACAGG
Molecule: ribosomal RNA, 253 nt
Filed under: uncultured bacterium
Lineage: Bacteria
Description: partial 16S ribosomal RNA
Rfam family: Bacterial small subunit ribosomal RNA
Source: RNAcentral